UACGGAAGGUCCGGGCGUUAUCCGGAUUUAUUGGGUUUAAAGGGAGCGUAGGCCGCCUUAUAAGCGAGCAGUGAAAUGUAGAGGCCCAACCUCUGAAUUGCUGUUCGAACUGUAGGGCUUGAGUACGCACGAGGUAGGCGGAAUUUGUGGUGUAGCGGUGAAAUGCUUAGAUAUCACAAAGAACCCCGAUUGCGAAGGCAGCUUACCGGAGCGCAACUGACGCUGAAGCUCGAAAGUGCGGGUAUCGAACAGG
This 253-nucleotide unclassified non-coding RNA is filed under the name uncultured Prevotellaceae bacterium. Its description in RNAcentral is "contains 16S-23S intergenic spacer region". It matches the Rfam family "Bacterial small subunit ribosomal RNA", at positions 524 to 776 of the family's 1533-position model. The record is from RNAcentral. Lineage: Bacteria; Pseudomonadati; Bacteroidota; Bacteroidia; Bacteroidales; Prevotellaceae.